AAAGAUAAGGAAGGUGGGGAGGGAGGGGUGAGAUUGCGGAAGACUUUAACUGCCACUGGAAGAACCAGGGAGAAGCAGUAGGAGGCUCCAGGUGAAGCCUUGAGUGGGAGACCAUGAGAGCCCGUGGGCCUCGUGCUGGUCCUAGCCUAUUAGAGCAGAAAGGGCUCCUAAAGAUGACCUGGUCCCAUGUCUUUCAUCUUCCAGAUGGAAAAACUGAGGCCCAGAGUGGAGACUGUAGAUCUCCCAGAAAACAAGAACCUGUCCUCAGGUCUGCUGUCUCCUAGUUACAGCCACUUUGAAAUGAACACCCCUCCUCUGCCAAGUGCUUCCUGCCAUGAUGCAUUGUGCUGGCUCAGGCUCAAAGCAACAUACCAAGGGACUGAACCCUCUGGAACUGUGAGCCAAAAUAAACCUUUUCUUCUGAUAAA
Molecule: long non-coding RNA, 428 nt
Organism: Cavia porcellus (domestic guinea pig)
Lineage: Eukaryota; Metazoa; Chordata; Mammalia; Rodentia; Caviidae
Exons: 3
Source: RefSeq, a predicted model, not a curated record